Molecule: ribosomal RNA, 777 nt
Filed under: Ceutorhynchus cf. asper XHL-2023
Lineage: Eukaryota; Metazoa; Arthropoda; Insecta; Coleoptera; Curculionidae
Description: 12S ribosomal RNA
Source: RNAcentral
UCAAAGUUUUUUUGGCUUAAUUUUUCUAUAUAAUAUGCCUUUAAAUGCAAGUUUUAGUGUGAAAGACAAAAUAUAGACAAUUUUUCAAAUAAAAAAGAAAUCGCAGUAAAUAGAAUUAUUUAUUUAAGUAAUUAAGAAAUAGGAAUUAUUUUUAAUACAGGCCAAAUUUGUGCCAGCAGUCGCGGUUACACAAAUUGUAUUAUAGAAAAUUUUUAAUACUAGUUAAUAUUAAAAUUUUAAUUUAUAUAAAAUUUUAUUAAGUAAAAUUUUAAAAUUUUGAAAAUUUAAAUUUAGAUUAUAAAACUAAAAAAUUUUAUUAAAAGACUAGGAUUAGAUACCCUAUUAUUAGAAAAAUAAAUUUUUGUAUUAAAUUAGUACCAGAUACAAUCUUGAAAAUUAAUAAAGUUGGCGGUAUCUUAGUCUAUUCAGAGGAACUUGUUCUGUAAUCGAUAGCCCACGAUUUAAACUACUUAUACUAAUAUUUGCAUAUCGCCGUAGAUUGAAUAUUUUUGUAGAAUCAUGUAAUAUUCAAGAAUUUUGUAAAAUAAGAAUUCAGGUCAAGGUGUAGUUCACGUGUAAGAAGAAAUGAGUUACAAUAAAUUUAUUUAAACGAAUUAAUUUUAUUUGAAAACUAUGAAGGUGGAUUUGAAAGUAAUUUUAAAAAAAUAUUUAAAAUGAUUUUAGCUCUAAGAUAUGUACAUAUCGCCCGUCGCUUUCACUCCAAGGUGAAAUAAGUCGUAACAAAGUAGGUGUACCGGAAGGUGCCCCUAGAAACCC